Molecule: ribosomal RNA, 775 nt
Filed under: uncultured Neocallimastigales
Lineage: Eukaryota; Fungi; Neocallimastigomycota; Neocallimastigomycetes; Neocallimastigales
Description: partial large subunit ribosomal RNA
Rfam family: Eukaryotic large subunit ribosomal RNA
Source: RNAcentral
UAUGUGAUCGUCUCUCGCAUAUCAAUAAGCGGAGGAAAAGAAACUAACAAGGAUUCCCCUAGUAACGGCGAGUGAAGCGGGAAGAGCUCAAAUUUGAAAUCCUAAAGGGUUUCCCUUUACGAAUUGUAGUUUAAAGAAGUGUUUUCUGUUGAGGUUUUGGUAAAAGUUCUUUGGAAUAGGACAUCAUAGAGGGUGAGAAUCCCGUAUUUGACCUUUACUUUCAACUUUGUGAUACGCCUUUCAAAGAGUCGGAUUGUUUGGGAAUGCAGUCCAAAAUGGGUGGUAAAUUUCAUCUAAAGCUAAAUAUUGGCGAGAGACCGAUAGCGAACAAGUACCGUGAGGGAAAGAUGAAAAGAACUUUGAAAAGAGAGUUAAACAGUACGUGAAAUUGUCAAAAGGGAAGCGUUUGACACCAGUGUUGUUUUCCUGAAAAUCAAUUAAAGAACUGUUUAUGCUAAGCUGUUUAGACUUUAUCAGCUAUCUGUUUAGUUUUGAGCUUUUCUUUAAUGCACUUUUCAGUUAACAAGUCAACAUCAAUUUCUUUUGCUGUAAAAAAGCUUGAGGAAGGUGGCUUGAGAUUCGUCUUAAGUGUUUAUAGCCUCUUGCCUAUGCAGUCGGAGAGAUUGAGGUCUGCAGCGUAGAUCCUUCGGGGCUAAAUGCAUUUGUGCUAAGUUAUAGCAUUUUAUAGACAACUUGUUGACUAUGAUUUGUCUUGUAGCUUACUCGCUUAUGUUAUUUUACCUACGCUUAGGAUGUUGAGCGCAUGUCUCUCUCU